Antechinus flavipes (yellow-footed antechinus) is the source of this 767-nucleotide long non-coding RNA. RefSeq lists it as uncharacterized. The transcript has 3 exons. NCBI's taxonomy places the organism in Eukaryota, Metazoa, Chordata, Mammalia, Dasyuromorphia, Dasyuridae. The record is from RefSeq and is a predicted model, not a curated record.
AAUGAUGCAAGAGGAAAAGCAACUUAAGAAGCUGUAAAUGGAUUCAAGCCAGGAAUGUUCUAGGGUCAUUCUGGGAGCUGGUUGUUAAAUUUUUGGUGUUAAAUUAAACAGACAACGGGCUGCUGCCGUCCAUGCUAAAAAAUCAGUGGGGAUUGUUUUAAUGGGGACCACUUUCAACUGGAAAAUUGGUGCUUAUAUUUUUAUAGCUCACCAUGUGGAGUUCUUUCAUCCAGCCAAGAGAGGAGAAAUCUCAUCAGGUUCAAGGUUCCUGUUUUUCUCUGUGGUUCACACAUCCAGCAUAAUGUUUCUUCUCCUCCUCCUCCUCCACCCCAUGGAAUUGAAGAUGACUCUGCUGCAUUUGAAUUAAAACCAAAUGAGUUAAUCAUCACUUUAAAAUUAAGGUGUCAUUCGUAAAUGCUUUAUUCAUUAUUAAUGAAAUGAUUUAUGCUUGCAGUAAUAUCCUUUAUUUGUGCAUGAAAAAGUAAGUUAUGAAAAGCAACAGAGGAAAACUUUAGCAGAUAAGGGUAUGUUCAUUUCUUCCCAAAAGCUGCUCCAAAAUAUAUCUUGCAGAAAAGUUACUAUGCAAAUGUCUAUGGGGAGAGCGGAACCAAUUAUUCAUCAGGCCAUAAAGUGACAUAUGAGGAAGUUGUUAAUAAUAAAUAAUAAGAUAAUAUUGUUAAUACUAAUGAUGAUCAUGUACUUUGCCAAUGGCCCAUUAAUAAUAAACGCUAUCAUUAAUACAAUGAAUAAUAAAGUAUUACAAUUAG